Long non-coding RNA from Lycium barbarum (goji berry), 836 nucleotides. RefSeq lists it as uncharacterized. The record is from RefSeq and is a predicted model, not a curated record. NCBI's taxonomy places the organism in Eukaryota, Viridiplantae, Streptophyta, Magnoliopsida, Solanales, Solanaceae. The transcript has 2 exons.
CCUCCUUCAUCCCUCCUCUCUCUCUCUCUCUCUCGUCUCUUUCUUUUCUCACCACCACGUUCCCCUCCACUCCCCUGCCGUCCCACACCUCUGUCCUUUGUCCCCCACACCUCACGUUCUUCUCCACCAUCACUAUCCUAACGCUCUCUCCGCACCCGACAAACCUCCCCUUUCCCAUACUCCUCUCUGUCACUUUCUGUCCACUCAUGUUUCCCCCCACUUCGACUUCUAUCUUCAUGCUUCUGUCAGCUCUGUCCCCUCCGCGCUCUCUUUCUUUUUAUUAAACCCUAAUCGUAACUUUAUAAGGGGGGGGGGGGGAGGAGGAGAACUCGUUUGGGGGGACGAAAUCGUUGUUGGAGAAAGAGGAUUAGGAGUAUUUAGAGGAUCUGAUUUGAGUUUGUUUUGAAAAAAAAAAGAAAGGAGGGAGGGCUGUUUGAAGACGAGUAUUUUUUAUUUUGAUUUUGUUUUAUCUGGUUUGGAACUCUUCAAAUCAGGAAAACAUUUCUAUUGAAAUAGGAAUUUGUGAUGAAAGGUUAAGUUUCGACGAUUCGAUUAACCCUCGUCGUUGUUCGGCAAAAGAAUUUUAAACAGAAUCAUUUUUAUUUUUUGAGUCGAAUUUUGAAUCGGUUCAUAACGAGAGUAGAUUCGUGAUCGUCGAUACCCACUUCACUGCACACAAAACAGCCCAACAUGACCUCUUCGUGUCCAGCCUCGUCUGCGGCCAGAAUAGAAAAUAAAUUUCUGGGCCAAAUCCCAAUAGGCAGGAAUAGCGUUCACCAGCAAAACAGACUGUAGCAGCAGUCCAUGAAAAAAUGGAUUAAUCCCAUUUAAUUUUA